Molecule: ribosomal RNA, 1336 nt
Filed under: Arthrobacter nitrophenolicus
Lineage: Bacteria; Bacillati; Actinomycetota; Actinomycetes; Micrococcales; Micrococcaceae
Description: 16S ribosomal RNA
Rfam family: Bacterial small subunit ribosomal RNA
Source: RNAcentral
UAGUGGCGAACGGGUGAGUAACACGUGAGUAACCUGCCCUUAACUCUGGGAUAAGCCUGGGAAACUGGGUCUAAUACCGGAUAUGACUGACUGUCGCAUGGUGGUUGGUGGAAAGCUUUUUGUGGUUUUGGAUGGACUCGCGGCCUAUCAGCUUGUUGGUGAGGUAAUGGCUUACCAAGGCGACGACGGGUAGCCGGCCUGAGAGGGUGACCGGCCACACUGGGACUGAGACACGGCCCAGACUCCUACGGGAGGCAGCAGUGGGGAAUAUUGCACAAUGGGCGAAAGCCUGAUGCAGCGACGCCGCGUGAGGGAUGACGGCCUUCGGGUUGUAAACCUCUUUCAGUAGGGAAGAAGCGAAAGUGACGGUACCUGCAGAAGAAGCGCCGGCUAACUACGUGCCAGCAGCCGCGGUAAUACGUAGGGCGCAAGCGUUAUCCGGAAUUAUUGGGCGUAAAGAGCUCGUAGGCGGUUUGUCGCGUCUGCCGUGAAAGUCCGGGGCUCAACUCCGGAUCUGCGGUGGGUACGGGCAGACUAGAGUGAUGUAGGGGAGACUGGAAUUCCUGGUGUAGCGGUGAAAUGCGCAGAUAUCAGGAGGAACACCGAUGGCGAAGGCAGGUCUCUGGGCAUUAACUGACGCUGAGGAGCGAAAGCAUGGGGAGCGAACAGGAUUAGAUACCCUGGUAGUCCAUGCCGUAAACGUUGGGCACUAGGUGUGGGGGACAUUCCACGUUUUCCGCGCCGUAGCUAACGCAUUAAGUGCCCCGCCUGGGGAGUACGGCCGCAAGGCUAAAACUCAAAGGAAUUGACGGGGGCCCGCACAAGCGGCGGAGCAUGCGGAUUAAUUCGAUGCAACGCGAAGAACCUUACCAAGGCUUGACAUGGACUGGACUGCCGCAGAAAUGUGGUUUCCCCUUUGGGGCUGGUUCACAGGUGGUGCAUGGUUGUCGUCAGCUCGUGUCGUGAGAUGUUGGGUUAAGUCCCGCAACGAGCGCAACCCUCGUUCUAUGUUGCCAGCACGUGAUGGUGGGGACUCAUAGGAGACUGCCGGGGUCAACUCGGAGGAAGGUGGGGACGACGUCAAAUCAUCAUGCCCCUUAUGUCUUGGGCUUCACGCAUGCUACAAUGGCCGGUACAAAGGGUUGCGAUACUGUGAGGUGGAGCUAAUCCCAAAAAGCCGGUCUCAGUUCGGAUUGGGGUCUGCAACUCGACCCCAUGAAGUCGGAGUCGCUAGUAAUCGCAGAUCAGCAACGCUGCGGUGAAUACGUUCCCGGGCCUUGUACACACCGCCCGUCAAGUCACGAAAGUUGGUAACACCCGAAGCCGGUGGCCUAAC